This 476-nucleotide ribosomal RNA is filed under the name uncultured organism. Its description in RNAcentral is "partial 16S ribosomal RNA". It matches the Rfam family "Bacterial small subunit ribosomal RNA", at positions 329 to 797 of the family's 1533-position model. The record is from RNAcentral.
ACGUACACUCCUGCGGGAGGCAGCAGUGGGGAAUUUUGGACAAUGGGCGAAAGCCUGAUCCAGCCAUGCCGCGUGCAGGAUGAAGGCCUUCGGGUUGUAAACUGCUUUUGUACGGAACGAAACGGCCUUUUCUAAUAAAGAGGGCUAAUGACGGUACCGUAAGAAUAAGCACCGGCUAACUACGUGCCAGCAGCCGCGGUAAUACGUAGGGUGCAAGCGUUAAUCGGAAUUACUGGGCGUAAAGCGUGCGCAGGCGGUUAUGUAAGACAGUUGUGAAAUCCCCGGGCUCAACCUGGGAACUGCAUCUGUGACUGCAUAGCUAGAGUACGGUAGAGGGGGAUGGAAUUCCGCGUGUAGCAGUGAAAUGCGUAGAUAUGCGGAGGAACACCGAUGGCGAAGGCAAUCCCCUGGACCUGUACUGACGCUCAUGCACGAAAGCGUGGGGAGCAAACAGGAUUAGAAACCCUUGUAGUCCC